GGGGGCGUAGCUCAGUCGGUAGAGCAGCGGCCUUUUAAGCCGGUGGUCGCAGGUUCGAGCCCUGCCGCCCUCACCA
RNAcentral lists this transfer RNA (76 nucleotides) under Planctomycetota bacterium. RNAcentral describes it as "Planctomycetes bacterium (activated sludge metagenome) tRNA-Lys". It matches the Rfam family "tRNA". Rfam says of the family: Transfer RNA (tRNA) molecules are approximately 80 nucleotides in length. Their secondary structure includes four short double-helical elements and three loops (D, anti-codon, and T loops). Lineage: Bacteria; Pseudomonadati; Planctomycetota. The record is from RNAcentral.